RNAcentral lists this transfer RNA (77 nucleotides) under Corynebacterium doosanense CAU 212 = DSM 45436. Its description in RNAcentral is "tRNA-Arg (TCT) (tRNA-Arg-TCT-1-1)". It matches the Rfam family "tRNA". Rfam says of the family: Transfer RNA (tRNA) molecules are approximately 80 nucleotides in length. Their secondary structure includes four short double-helical elements and three loops (D, anti-codon, and T loops). Lineage: Bacteria; Bacillati; Actinomycetota; Actinomycetes; Mycobacteriales; Corynebacteriaceae. The record is from RNAcentral.
GCCUCCAUAGCUCAGUGGAUUAGAGCAACCGGUUUCUACCCGGUCGGUCGCGGGUUCGAAUCCUGCUGGGGGCACCA